UUAUUUGUUGUUUAUCUGAAGUUUAAAUUCACUGUGCUUCCUGUCUUUUUGUUUGCUAAAUCUGACAACCCAAGCUUAAUUAUAAGACCUGUCCCACUGAGAAUCACCAUCAAAUAGUGACUACUGGGCAUCUGCUUGCUUGUGACACUUGCUUUUAAACUGAUCCUAUAACAUAGAACACUAUGCUGGAGAAGUGGGGGCGGUGAGGGAGAAAGAGAGACAACAGACAUGGAAACAGAAAAGUGUCCCAUCAUGAGACUGAUCUUAGUCACCUGUACAUCACAUAAAUGUAAUGUCACUAGGCCUUUUAGAAAAUAGAACUAGUCCUACUGUCCUAUUUGCCUCUCAUCACAAUCUACGUACGCCCCCCAUUUUGCUGUGCUAUUCUGCUCUAUUCUAUUCUGCUCUUUGAUAAAUAAGAAAUGAACACGUUUUGGCAAAAGCCAGGCCCUAUGUUCUCCAAGAAUUAUCUGGUCCUCAGAAGGCAUAUCACAAGCAAACAGCAAGACGGGCGGAGGGUGCAGCCAGGCUGCUGCAGACAGAAGGGCUGCCCAAAUGUAAUUAAGCAUGAGGCGCAGACCCUAGGAGUCACAAUGGGAAAAGUUCCAUGACCAAAAAAAUAUUAGGGAAGUGAAGUGGAGAAUGUUUACAAGCCUAAUUGCACAACUCUAGAAUUAAAAAUUUUGCCAAUAUCAGGCAACUUUGUGGACUGACAUUAUGGAAGCUAAACCUGGCCCAAGGAUAGAGGUGGCUCUAGGCUCUCACUAGUUGGCCCAGCCCUGUGGCUAAAGCACCUACCAAGACACUCAAAUUGAGAAAAUGACCAAAUUAGAGCACAAAUGAGUGAGCUGAUUCAUAUGCAAGAAAAUAACAGAGGCUAAGGAAUCCAAAUUCCAGAAAUGAAGCCUUUGAGUAGUAAUAAAAAUAAUAGUAAUGAUGAUAAUGAUAACAAUACCUACACCUUAUUGAGCACUUAUUAUGUGCCAGGCACUGUGCUAUGCACUUUACAUGAAUUGACUCAUUUAUCCUGACAACAACUCUGUGAAGAUUGUCACCCAUGUUUCAUGAGGCACAGAGAGACUGCAAAAUUUAACUGAUUCACCUAACUAUUGAAUGAUGAGGCAGAAAAUAAAACCUAGGCAGUUGGAGAGCAAAGCCUACAUGUUUAACCACUAGGCUCUACCAUUUCUCUAAUCUGUUUUUGAAGAGAUUUUUCCCAGAGUGGGAUGGAUUUGCUGAGCUCUUCCCACCACCUUUUCCUGGGUCUCACUGGUACAAGGGGCACUCGUUUGUCAAACAGGCAGAAAGUUUAAGGAUACUCUUCACAGAUGUAGGACAGAAGGAGCCUAGUGACCUGAGUACCACCAUGUUCUAAUUAAAUGAACUAACCACCACUGGGCUCUUGAGGGUAUCCUAGAACUAAGAUUUAGGGUGUGAAUUACAUGUACACGAGAGAGGUCAUACAUAUCUGCUAUUACUUUGGAACCUGGAAGAAAUGUUGAUCAUUAAAGUCUGCUGAUCUCUUAGUUAUCCUUUAAGGCACAUCUUAACACCUCUUCCGUGAAUCCUUCCUCAUACUCCCAGAUGGAAGUGUUUAUUCCUUUGGGUUCCAAAUAUGCUUUUUUUUCUCCAUCAUUAUGUCCAGCACAUAUCUGUCUCUCCCAUAAGAAUAUAAGCAUUUUGAGGCCAGGGAUUAUUUUAUUCAUAUUUAUAUAUGGCAUGUAUUUCCCCCAUACAUACACAUUGAGUAUUUGUUAAACAAAUAAAGCUAAUCUAAUCGAUUGUUUUACAUCUGAGAAGACAAAGGCCCAGAGAGGGGAAUCUUACUUACCUAAGAUGACACAGCAGUUCAAUGGCUGUCUUUUGACUCCCAAGCCAUUACUCCAUCUACUAUCCAAGGAUGCAUUUCUGGAGAUUCUAAAUGGCUUCAUUUUCUCUUUUCCAUAUUCUUGCUCUUAUAGUGCAUUUGUUUUUACUUCUGGAACCUGCUGGUUCCAAGCUUUUUCAAAGCUCAUUUGGAAAACGGUCAUUCUGAUUACUCUCCCUACAAUCUACUCUCCUACCUUGAGAUCACUUUUUCUACCCUCUCCAUAAAGUCCCUAUAUAGGUGAUGAUUUUCAGAAUAUUACAUUUAUUUAAUUGACAGAGAUGCAGCUGAGUUCUGUAUGACAGCUGAGCAACACAGGAUCCCUCCCCCUUUCCUCCUUCACUCAGCCAUGAACAGAUGAAAAUUCUAGUGUGGUAUAGCAGGCACUGCACUAAAACAAUCCAUGAAUUUUAUCUCAUCUCAUCCUCACAAUGACCCUAUGAUGUAGGCAGUAUUACUGUUCCCAUUUUUCAGGUGAAGACACAGAGGCUCAGAAAGCUUAAGUUAUGUUCCCAAGGUUACACAGCUAGUAGGUGACACAACUGGAAUUUGUACCCAGGUAGUUUAACUACAGUCUCCACGCUCUUAGUGUUUACAUGAUCCCCUAUGGAACAUCUGACAUAAUGCUGCCAGAGGACUUUUCCUAAGAUAUAUCAUUAUUGUGUUUUUUCCUACUGCUUCCACAGCUAUGCCUCUAGGGUUGUGUAUUAGACACAGUAUGGUAGCUACUAGACACAUGUAGCUAUUUAACUAUAACUUUAAAUUAAUAACAAAUAAAAUUUAAAAUGCAGUUUCUCAAUCCCACUAGCCACAUCACAAGUACUCAAAGGCUAUAUACACAUAGUGGCUACAAGCUUGGACAGUGCAAGAAUAUUUCCAUCACUGCAUUUUGUUUCUGCAACGAAAAUUCUAUUGUACAGCACUGCUCUAGAGAUUAAAGCUUGAACUCCUCUGCCUGGUAUUUCAAGUGUUCUACAGUCUGGUUUCUACCAACUUUUCAGCAGAAAGGCAGAAAACAAGGAAAUGAGGCUGAGUAAAUGAGCAGAAGUCUGAGGAUGAAGUGUCUACUAUGCCACACUGAGGAAGUAAAGUCUCAUCAUGUAGGACAGAAUGUAUUUCCUCCUGGAGAAUAGAUAGAUCUGACUCAAAAUCACCUCUCUGAGGAAGCCUGAAUAAAUAACCAGAGAGGUCUGAAGAUCAUGUCACCCUGUUGAUUGGGUGUUCCCCAGCAGUGACAGGAAGGGUUCCAAGACUUAUACAAAAGACAAAGAUCACACAUUCAAAAUGGAAUCAAAGGACUAUGCUCAAAUCACACCUCUGCUAAUUAUUAGCUAUAUGAUGCUGGCACUGCCAGAUAGCAUCAUUGAGCUUGUUUGAUCUGUGAAAUAGAGCCAAUAAUAUCUAUUCUCUAGAUUUUCAUGACAAGCAAGUAAGAUAAUGAGGAAAGUGAGAUAAUAGUCUGGGGUGAGACCUAGACUUUAAAUUCCCUCAUGUGAUUCUAGGGAGUGCUAGGGUUGAAAAUCAUUGAACUAGAUGAUCUCUGAGGUCUCUUCUAGCUUUAAAAUUCAAGUUUUGACCCACAGUAAGAAAGUCAACAGUCACUUUGGACAAAAUACUCACCUAGGUCCAUCCCCAGCACGCUGCAGGCUUCACAUGCAGUCAAUGCUCAGCCAUUAUGGAUAGCCCAGAUUUCCAGGUAAAGCAGCAUCUUUGAUGAGAAUGCAGGAGUGGUUCCAUGUGUAAUGGUGAACACUCUGGACUCUGAUGAGAGUACAGGGUCAGUGUUGGCUUCUUGGAAGAGUCCCUCCCCAGCAGUGACAGAUGCACCCAAAACACCCAGCCCAUAACUACUAAAACCACCAAUGGUUUUAUUGUCCUCAAAAUGAGUCAUUUAAAAGAGCCAAUGGGCCCAGCCAUCUGGCCCUGCCGAGCCGCAACCCACCGACCCAUGAAUUGGCCUGGCUUUCGCGUGCACCAUGUCUGGUUCCUCCAGCAUUGCCACUAUGAAGAAAGUGGUUCAACAGCUCCGGAUGGAGGUGGGGCUCAACUGUGUUAAAGUUUCCCAGGCAGCUGCAGACUUGAAACAAUUCUGUCUGCAGAAUGUUCAACAUGAUCCUCAGCUGACUGGAGUAUCUUCAAGUACAAAUCCCUUCAGAUUCCAGAAAGUCUGUUCCUUUUUGUAAGAAAAUGAAUCUUUCAAAGGUUUCCCAAACCAUUUCUUAUGAACUGGUGAAUAUUCAAGAAACAACUAAAUUUGAAGCCUGUACAAAAGCUUAGCCUUAUAACAAUACAUGUGCCAUAAUAUGCAAA
This is a non-coding RNA of Microcebus murinus (gray mouse lemur), 4177 nucleotides long. NCBI's taxonomy places the organism in Eukaryota, Metazoa, Chordata, Mammalia, Primates, Cheirogaleidae. The record is from RefSeq and is a predicted model, not a curated record.